Molecule: long non-coding RNA, 842 nt
Filed under: Marmota monax (woodchuck)
Lineage: Eukaryota; Metazoa; Chordata; Mammalia; Rodentia; Sciuridae
Source: RNAcentral
UUUUUUUUUAAUAUUUAUUUAUUUAGUUAGUUAUUGGCGGGCACAACAUCUUUGUAUGUGGUGCUGAGGAUCGAACCCGGGCCGCAUGCGUGCCAGGCGAGCGCGCUACCGCUUGAGCCACAUCCCCAGACCCUCAUGCUUGUUUUUGUGUUGUUUUUUUUGUUUUGUUUUGUUUUUGCAGUGCAUGCAUAGUAGGCAAACACCGUACCACCCGGCUGCACCCCCAGCCCAGGGACACACACUCUGUACACUGAGCAGACGGGCUGUGAGUGGCAGGUUGGCCUAACGUUGCCGCCGCUACACAGUUCAAACUAGGAAGGCGCCAGAAACCUCUCUGCCUCUGAGGUGCAGUUCCCUGCCUCCCCUGGGAAGGGGGGAAGGUGAACAGAGAUCCAGGAAACUGAUCUUGCUGUGUCAGUGAGGAUUUGGGCAAGUUGUGUGUAACAGAAAACCCCAAAUAAUAGAGACUAACACAAAAUAAAUUUUUUUUUUUCUCUUCUGAGAGAGAAGAAAGCUAGCGGUAGACAGAGUGAUAUUGUAGUUCCUUGAAGUUAUCGGAGAAUCAGACUUAUUUUAUAAUCUUGCUCUGCCCCUUGUGGCUUCCAUUUCUAAAGUCCUCUCAUGACCCAGGAUGACUGCUUUAGUUCUAGCCAUUAAUCUGCAUCCCAGGCAGGAGGAAGGAGCUUUAUAAAGGAAAUUUUAUAGGAAGUUCUAUGUAACACAACUUGUUUACAUCUCAUUGACUAGUCCUGCUCUGCCAAUUAUGGUAGCAUCAAACUCUGUGUGCCUAUUGAACUCUUGAAAUGUGUCUGGGCCAAUCAGGUAAGCUGCAAGUAUGAAAU